RNAcentral lists this ribosomal RNA (433 nucleotides) under uncultured bacterium. Its description in RNAcentral is "partial 16S ribosomal RNA". It matches the Rfam family "Bacterial small subunit ribosomal RNA", at positions 29 to 507 of the family's 1533-position model. The record is from RNAcentral.
AACGAACGCUGGCGGCAUGCCUAACACAUGCAAGUCGAACGAGACCUUCGGGUCUAGUGGCGCACGGGUGCGUAAAGCGUGGGAACCUGCCUUUAGGUUCGGAAUAACUCAGAGAAAUUUGAGCUAAUACCGGAUGAUGUCUUCGGACCAAAGAUUUAUCGCCUUUAGAUGGGCCCGCGUUGGAUUAGCUAGUUGGUGGGGUAAAGGCCUACCAAGGCGACGAUCCAUAGCUGGUCUGAGAGGAUGAUCAGCCACACUGGGACUGAGACACGGCCCAGACUCCUACGGGAGGCAGCAGUGGGGAAUAUUGGACAAUGGGCGAAAGCCUGAUCCAGCAAUGCCGCGGGAGUGAUGAAGGCCUUAGGGUUGUAAAGCUCUUUUACCCGAGAUGAUAAUGACAGUAUCGGGAGAAUAAGCUCCGGCUAACUCCGUG